UCUACGGGCGGCAGCAGUGGGGAAUAUUGCACAAUGGGCGCAAGCCUGAUGCAGCCAUGCCGCGUGUGUGAAGAAGGCCUUCGGGUUGUAAAGCACUUUCAGCGGGGAGGAAGGCGGUGAGGUUAAUAACCUCAUCGAUUGACGUUACCCGCACAAGAAGCACCGGCUAACUCCGUGCCAGCAGCCGCGGUAAUACGGAGGGUGCAAGCGUUAAUCGGAAUUACUGGGCGUAAAGCGCACGCAGGCGGUCUGUCAAGUCGGAUGUGAAAUCCCCGGGCUCAACCUGGGAACUGCAUUCGAAACUGGCAGGCUAGAGUCUUGUAGAGGGGGGUAGAAUGCCAGGUGUAGCGGUGAAAUGCGUAGAGAUCUGGAGGAAUACCGGUGGCGAAGGCGGCCCCCUGGACAAAGACUGACGCUCAGGUGCGAAAGCGUGGGGAGCAAACAGGAUUAGAUACCCCAGUAAUC
This 465-nucleotide ribosomal RNA is filed under the name uncultured Klebsiella sp. RNAcentral describes it as "bacterial SSU rRNA". It matches the Rfam family "Bacterial small subunit ribosomal RNA", at positions 338 to 795 of the family's 1533-position model. Lineage: Bacteria; Pseudomonadati; Pseudomonadota; Gammaproteobacteria; Enterobacterales; Enterobacteriaceae. The record is from RNAcentral.